Molecule: unclassified non-coding RNA, 447 nt
Filed under: Hevea brasiliensis (rubber tree)
Lineage: Eukaryota; Viridiplantae; Streptophyta; Magnoliopsida; Malpighiales; Euphorbiaceae
Source: RNAcentral
AUUUUAUUUAGCUCAGAAUUGCAAAUUGCAUGGCUAGUGCAUCAUUUCUGUGAUGAGUUCAUUGCUAAUGGUAAAUAUUCAUUGAAUGGUAACAUUAUUUUAUUCGUAAAGAUUCAUUGAUUGGAAACAUUUACUACUUUUAUAGUGCAUUGCAUCAUGUUAAUGUAGUAACUUUACCCUUGUCGUAUUGUUGUAGCUUUGCAGUCAACUUCUUGUUCUUAGAGUAAUCAUUAAUGGUGGUAUAAGAUGUUUGAAGUAGGACAUCAAUGAAAGUUUGUGAUCUGGCAUAUUCAUUCUGAAAUUUUUUGUUAACAAGUGCUUCUCCACUCCAGCUGCUAUGUUAUUUCCUACUGUUACUUUUUAUCCAGGGGUUGCUAAGAUUAUAUUGAAUAUCUAAUUUAUUGCAUUCUAAAUUAAUGAAUUAGUUUUUGGAGGAAAAGGAGCCUG